Long non-coding RNA from Drosophila navojoa, 147 nucleotides. Lineage: Eukaryota; Metazoa; Arthropoda; Insecta; Diptera; Drosophilidae. The record is from RefSeq and is a predicted model, not a curated record.
GUUUAUGUGUGUGUGUGUGUUAUUUGUUUUUCUUGAAUCGCUGUCAUUAAUGAGUUACAGAUAUUACACUUUUAUGGCUGGCAGACACGCUUAUCCACUCUCCAUUCUAAUCGUGUUUGACUCUGACUCCGACUCCGACUCCGACUC